GGCGCGUUGGCGGAAUGGUUACGCACACGAUUGCAAAUCGUGCUCAUGCCGGUUCGAAUCCGGCACGCGCCU
Molecule: transfer RNA, 72 nt
Filed under: Meinhardsimonia xiamenensis
Lineage: Bacteria; Pseudomonadati; Pseudomonadota; Alphaproteobacteria; Rhodobacterales; Paracoccaceae
Description: Albidovulum sp. YBY-7 tRNA
Rfam family: tRNA
About the family: Transfer RNA (tRNA) molecules are approximately 80 nucleotides in length. Their secondary structure includes four short double-helical elements and three loops (D, anti-codon, and T loops). Further hydrogen bonds mediate the characteristic L-shaped molecular structure. tRNAs have two regions of fundamental functional importance: the anti-codon, which is responsible for specific mRNA codon recognition, and the 3' end, to which the tRNAs corresponding amino acid is attached (by aminoacyl-tRNA synthetases). tRNAs cope with the degeneracy of the genetic code in two manners: having more than one tRNA (with a specific anti-codon) for a particular amino acid; and 'wobble' base-pairing, i.e. permitting non-standard base-pairing at the 3rd anti-codon position.
Source: Rfam by way of RNAcentral